AAUUGGUUGACAGAUUUAAUGUAUUUGACUUAGGCUCAAAAAAUGAAGCGUUGCUUCACCAAUGA
This 65-nucleotide transfer RNA is filed under the name Branchinotogluma japonicus. RNAcentral's name for it is "tRNA-Leu". Lineage: Eukaryota; Metazoa; Annelida; Polychaeta; Phyllodocida; Polynoidae. The record is from RNAcentral.